UACGAAGGGAGCUAGCGUUGCUCGGAAUCACUGGGCGUAAAGCGCACGUAGGCGGCUUCUUAAGUCAGGGGUGAAAUCCUGGAGCUCAACUCCAGAACUGCCUUUGAUACUGAGGAGCUCGAGUCCGGGAGAGGUGAGUGGAACUGCGAGUGUAGAGGUGAAAUUCGUAGAUAUUCGCAAGAACACCAGUGGCGAAGGCGGCUCACUGGCCCGGUACUGACGCUGAGGUGCGAAAGCGUGGGGAGCAAACAGG
Molecule: ribosomal RNA, 253 nt
Filed under: uncultured bacterium
Lineage: Bacteria
Description: partial 16S ribosomal RNA
Rfam family: Bacterial small subunit ribosomal RNA
Source: RNAcentral